This 797-nucleotide ribosomal RNA is filed under the name uncultured bacterium. RNAcentral's name for it is "bacterial SSU rRNA". It matches the Rfam family "Bacterial small subunit ribosomal RNA", at positions 379 to 1167 of the family's 1533-position model. The record is from RNAcentral.
CAGCCUGAUGCAUCCAUGCCGCGUGUAUGAAGAAGGCCUUCGGGUUGUAAAGUACUUUCAGUCGUGAGGAAGGUUUCGUAGUUAAUAACUGCGUUGCUUGACGUUAGCAACAGAAGAAGCACCGGCUAACUCCGUGCCAGCAGCCGCGGUAAUACGGAGGGUGCGAGCGUUAAUCGGAAUUACUGGGCGUAAAGCGCAUGCAGGUGGUUUGUUAAGUCAGAUGUGAAAGCCCGGGGCUCAACCUCGGAAUAGCAUUUGAAACUGGCAGACUAGAGUACUGUAGAGGGGGGUAGAAUUUCAGGUGUAGCGGUGAAAUGCGUAGAGAUCUGAAGGAAUACCGGUGGCGAAGGCGGCCCCCUGGACAGAUACUGACACUCANAUGCGAAAGCGUGGGGAGCAAACAGGAUUAGAUACCCUGGUAGUCCACGCCGUAAACGAUGUCUACUUGGAGGUUGUGGCCUUGAGCCGUGGCUUUCGGAGCUAACGCGUUAAGUAGACCGCCUGGGGAGUACGGUCGCAAGAUUAAAACUCAAAUGAAUUGACGGGGGCCCGCACAAGCGGUGGAGCAUGUGGUUUAAUUCGAUGCAACGCGAAGAACCUUACCUACUCUUGACAUCCAGAGAAUUUUCCAGAGAUGGAUUAGUGCCUUCGGAACUCUGAGACAGGUGCUGCAUGGCUGUCGUCAGCUCGUGUUGUGAAAUGUUGGGUUAAGUCCCGCAACGAGCGCAACCCUUAUCCUUGUUUGCCAGCGAGUAAUGUCGGGAACUCCACGGGAGACUGCCGGUGAUAAAACCGGA